RNAcentral lists this small RNA (132 nucleotides) under Salmonella enterica. Its description in RNAcentral is "RtT sRNA". It matches the Rfam family "RtT RNA". Rfam says of the family: This family represents a bacterial cis-regulatory element known as RtT RNA. The exact function of RtT is unknown although it is thought that it may be involved in changing the cellular response in relation to amino acid starvation. The record is from RNAcentral. Lineage: Bacteria; Pseudomonadati; Pseudomonadota; Gammaproteobacteria; Enterobacterales; Enterobacteriaceae.
AUAUCUCUCUGUACGGGAAGGAUGAGAAGCUUCGACUAAGGUUCGAUUCGAGCGAAAGCGAGAAAGCGUUGCCGCAGGCAACGACCCGAAUGGCGAAGCGCGCAGCGCUGAGUAAUCCUUCCCCCACCACCA